This 162-nucleotide unclassified non-coding RNA is filed under the name soil metagenome. RNAcentral's name for it is "partial internal transcribed spacer 1". The record is from RNAcentral.
GUGAAUUGAAUAUGUUAGCGGACCUCUUCGGAGUCCCUAGCAUCAAAUCAUAUCCAUAACACCUGUGAACUGUAAGGCUGUCUUGAAAACGAAGUGAUUAGAGCGCCUGCCCAUUUUAUACAAACAUUAAAGUAACAAACGUAGUCUUAUUAUAAUCUAAUA